RNAcentral lists this ribosomal RNA (253 nucleotides) under uncultured bacterium. RNAcentral describes it as "partial 16S ribosomal RNA". It matches the Rfam family "Bacterial small subunit ribosomal RNA", at positions 524 to 776 of the family's 1533-position model. The record is from RNAcentral.
GACGAACCGUGCGAACGUUGUUCGGAAUCACUGGGCUUAAAGGGCGCGUAGGCGGGUCGGAAAGUCCGCGGUGAAAUCCCCCCGCUCAACGGGGGAACGGCCGCGGAUACUGCCGGCCUCGAGGGGGGUAGGGGCGAGCGGAACGCUGGGUGGAGCGGUGAAAUGCGUUGAUAUCCAGCGGAACUCCGGUGGCGAAGGCGGCUCGCUGGACCUUCACUGACGCUGAGGAGCGAAAGCGUGGGGAGCGAACAGG